AGGAAAGGGAAACGUAGCCACUUGUGGCACAAGACUGGGGCUCCCUGGGGGCCCAGAUAAAAAGCUCUAGACAGGGGCCUGAACCGGCCUCGCUGAGACACCUUGGUUUCUUAGCAAGCGAAAUUGAUCACCAACAUCUAGGACGCUUGGACCCCUAUUUGCGGGGGGGUACCCCAAACCCACUCAAACUAAAGGUCUUCUCCCCUUGUAGUCUUGGUGGGUUAUAAAUCGCCCCUUAGACAGUUUCCUCUGACCCAAAUUAUGCAGUUUGCUGCCAUCUACCGUCCGUUCGGGGACAGGCGGCUUUGGCACAGCAAGUGGCUGACACUCGCCGAGCCCUGCCGGUUUGCUUAGAGCCCUUGGCGCGAGGUUCGGUGGGAUUCUGGCCCACGCUGGUGCCCUCUACUGCAUUUUAGUCCCCGAGUGUAGAUUAGAAAGCGGAAUGAAUCUCUUGUCACCUUAUCCUCAAUCUUCUCCCAUCUCCUGCAGAUCCCCACUCACCCCAGUCACAAACCUGAAGGCUGGUAGAGGAAGAGGGAGUCGAGAGGAGUAACACUGUAACCCACGGACAGAGGGUACUGAGCCAAAGGGUUGAGGGCUCAGACCCACGACCCUCAUCACCACCUAAGACACGAGACACGAUUGGGGGCUGCUAGAGAGAUGUGAGGCCAAAUCUGUUCAAGGUUUAUUUAGUUUUCUUCUCAGCCAAGGGAGGUAGGGGGUACGGUCAAGGGAGGCGCCGACCAGGCAGUUCCACUCGGUUGUCAAAAGACAAACCCGGUCUGUAUUCUUCCAGUUGGUUUGUGGUUUUUGCCAAUUCCUAAGCUGGCGAGUCCUUAUUGAAGGAGUUGAACUGAAUUUUCUGGAAACUGUUGGUGUCUGCAAGUGAGUGUUGGUCCCCUCCCCCAUUCUCGACCGUUUCUAGCGAAAUCGACGCAAAA
Molecule: long non-coding RNA, 941 nt
Filed under: Rattus norvegicus (Norway rat)
Lineage: Eukaryota; Metazoa; Chordata; Mammalia; Rodentia; Muridae
Description: long non-coding RNA NONRATT004801
Source: RNAcentral